Molecule: long non-coding RNA, 1544 nt
Filed under: Fragaria vesca (wild strawberry)
Lineage: Eukaryota; Viridiplantae; Streptophyta; Magnoliopsida; Rosales; Rosaceae
Description: long non-coding RNA (FVES_LNC004953)
Source: RNAcentral
ACCAAUAAACCAUAUAUAUAUAUAUAUAUAUAUAUAUAGUCUGUGAAAGCAUGCCAAACAAACAUCUAGUUAUGUCACAUCCCGACUUUUAUAUUUUUUACCUUAUUUACUAGCUUGUUUAUAAUAAGAAUUUUACCGUCUCCGUCAUUGAGUUAAUAGUUUAAUUGGUCCCUAGAGGGGUUUCGGGGACGAUUAUUCGUAGAGGAAAAUAUGGCGACGGUAAAAAUGAUAAAUUUUAGCUAGUAAAAGGUAAUUUUUAUUCAUGUAUUAUUUUUUUCAGGGUGUUUUAUUUUUGAGUUGGGUUGAUAUAAGAUUGGACUGGUUUGGGGUGUGAGGCCCAAAUCCAUUUUCUCUCCUCUCUUUUUUCCUCCCGGUUUCCCUCUUCCCUGAGUCUCCCGCUGCCCGGUUUUCCGGCUGUCUUUCCGCCGUCGUUCGGCCGCCGUUCGCCGCUGCUCCGGUCCCGUUCGGUUGCCCUCCGACCCAGCUACAUCCCUGGACCGGUGACAGCCACCCUAGCGCCGCCGUGAAGGAGUUCUCCCGCCUAGAACCUCGAGCUGCCCAAAAUCCUCCAUCGCCGGAACUCCCUCCUCCGGCCACCAAUCCGGGCAAGCUUGGUAUGGUUUUGUAGGUCUCCAACCCAGCUGCCUUGCCCUAAAAGGACUCACUCCGGUUUGCUUCAGGUAAGGAGAAAUUUGAGGUGGAAGCUCUAGGGCGUUUUUGAUGUUUUUGUUCGAUUGGCAUAGCUAGGCUUGAAUUUUGGGUUUGUGCUAGUUAGGAAAGUUGUAGAACAUGAUGAGAGGAAGAUGCUGUUAAAAUUUCAUAGGAAUUGGAGGUCGCCGGAAUCGGCCUUCGGCCGCCGCUGCCGGCGGAGCCGGCGCCGGCGCUAGAGCUGUUUGGGAGAUUUUGAUAUUUUUAGAUUUGGAAUAUUAAGGGGAGUUUAUUGAAGUGAGUUAUGGAAUUUUUAGAUGAGUUUUGGAUAGGUUUGUGAAUUUCCGAAGUUUGGUAUUUUUGGCGGUUAAUUAAUGUAGAAUCCGGCUGUAGGAUUUAAGUCGUAUUCUGUGGGAAGUUGUUUUUACGGCUGCCGGUAUGUUCGGCGAAGUUUGAGCCGUAUUGAGUUAAGAAUGGCGAAUUUGGGCAAUGAUGAGUGUGUGGGAGGCUCACGUUUAAUUUUGCCCAUUUUGUUUAAAUAUUGGAUUUUUGGUGGGAAAUUAAUUAUAUAUUUGGAACAGGACGAGAGGAGGCCCGAGCAGAGGAAGCCUCGGAGCGUCAUCAGGCUUAGGCCUAAUUAGUGAGUGGACCUUUAUUUUAAUUGAAAAGCAUGCGAUGAAUUAUCUGUUGAUCAUUUAUUUCUUUUCCUGAGAUUUAUUUAUUUCUCGGAUAUUUGGCAAUUUUCCUCCUUUGGAGAGAUCCCGAAAAUGAGAUUUUCGGUGGAUAUGUUUAUUGGAUGUUUAUGAUGAUAGUAUGUAUAUGUAAAUGCUAGCUAGUCAUACGUGUUUGAUCCGCCAUAAUGAGGUAAAAUACUAUUAUGGUGUGACGUGAGUGUU